Molecule: transfer RNA, 100 nt
Filed under: Rhizobium leguminosarum
Lineage: Bacteria; Pseudomonadati; Pseudomonadota; Alphaproteobacteria; Hyphomicrobiales; Rhizobiaceae
Description: tRNA-Leu
Source: RNAcentral
GGGCCGCGGUGAUAGUUGCACCCGUUCAUGACCUGGAGAUCAGUAGUUCGUCAGUGGCUCAGAACCUGAAGGCCGCAGGUUCAAAUCCUGCCCGAGCUCA